GUUGAGCAGUAUAGGUUAAAGGAAUAUGUGUCAGAAAUUAUAAGGCUCGCAUUGUUUACUAUCUCCACUACUUCAGACCAGAGCCCCAGACCCCAGCCGCCGGCCCCAGCCCCCAUCCAGUCCUUUGAGUAUAUACAGGGCGUCUGGUAUUUUUUUAUGGGAUUUUUAUGAGCAGCCCGGCCUACCGGCAAAUGCAAGCGCGCUGAGCGCCCGGCCGCGGCGGC
Monomorium pharaonis (pharaoh ant) is the source of this 224-nucleotide long non-coding RNA. RefSeq lists it as uncharacterized. NCBI's taxonomy places the organism in Eukaryota, Metazoa, Arthropoda, Insecta, Hymenoptera, Formicidae. The transcript has 3 exons. The record is from RefSeq and is a predicted model, not a curated record.